UGGGGAAUCUUGCACAAUGGGGGCAACCCUGAUGCAGCGACGCCGCGUGAGCGUUGAAGCCCUUCGGGGCGUAAAGCUCUUUCGACCGGAACGAUAAUGACGGUACCGGGAGAAGAAGCUGCGGCUAACUACGUGCCAGCAGCCGCGGUAAUACGUAGGCAGCAAGCGUUGUUCGGAGUUACUGGGCGUAAAGGGCGCGUAGGCGGCGCGGUAAGUCACUUGUGAAAUCUCUGAGCUUAACUCAGAACGGCCAAGUGAUACUGCUGUGCUAGAGUGCGGAAGAGGCAACCGGAAUUCUUGGUGUAGCGGUGAAAUGCGUAGAUAUCAAGAGGAACACCUGAGGCGAAGGCGGGUUGCUGGGCCGACACUGACGCUGAUGCGCGAAAGCCAGGGGAGCAAACG
Molecule: ribosomal RNA, 402 nt
Filed under: uncultured bacterium
Lineage: Bacteria
Description: bacterial SSU rRNA
Rfam family: Bacterial small subunit ribosomal RNA
Source: RNAcentral